CCUACGGGAGGCAGCAGUGGGGAAUAUUGCACAAUGGGGGAAACCCUGAUGCAGCGACGCCGCGUGAGCGAUGAAGUAUCUCGGUAUGUUAAGCUUCUUCAGUAGGGAAGAAAAUGACGGCACCUGUCUAUGAAGCUCCGGCUAACUCCGUGCCAGCAGCCGUGGUAAUACGUAGGGGGCAAGCGUAAUCCGGAUUUACUGGGCGUAAAGGGAGCGUAGACGGUUGUGCAAGCCAGAUGUGAAAGUCUGGGGCUCAACCCCAAGACUGCAUUUGGAACUGUGUGGCUGGAGUGUCGGAGAGGCAGGCGGAAUUCGUGGUGUAGCGGUGAAAUGCUUAGAUAUUAGGAAGAACACCGAUGGCGAAGGCAGCCUACUAGACGGUGACUGACGUUGAGGCUCGAAAGCGUGGGGAGCAAACAGGAUUAGAUACCCGGGUAGUC
This 440-nucleotide ribosomal RNA is filed under the name uncultured bacterium. RNAcentral describes it as "partial 16S ribosomal RNA". It matches the Rfam family "Bacterial small subunit ribosomal RNA", at positions 338 to 795 of the family's 1533-position model. The record is from RNAcentral.